AUAUAUAACAACAUAAGACAUCAUAUGCUCGAGAUCUGUGAAUUAAAU
RNAcentral lists this non-coding RNA (48 nucleotides) under Trypanosoma brucei brucei. The record is from RNAcentral. Lineage: Eukaryota; Euglenozoa; Kinetoplastea; Trypanosomatida; Trypanosomatidae.